AACGAACGCUGGCGGCGUGCCUAACACAUGCAAGUCGAGCGAGAAAGCCCGCAAGGGUGAGUAAAGCGGCGCACGGGUGAGUAACACGUGGGUAAUCUACCUCGGAGCCUGGAAUAACCUGCCGAAAGGCGGGCUAAUACCGGAUAAGCUCACAGGGGCUUCGGCCCCAGGGAGAAAAGGCAGCCUCUGCAUGCAAGCGGUCACUCCGAGAUGAGCCCGCGGCCUAUCAGCUUGUUGGCGGGGUAAUGGCCCACCAAGGCGAUGACGGGUAGCUGGUCUGAGAGGAUGGCCAGCCACACUGGAACUGAGACACGGUCCAGACUCCUACGGGAGCAGCAUG
RNAcentral lists this ribosomal RNA (340 nucleotides) under uncultured bacterium. RNAcentral's name for it is "bacterial SSU rRNA". It matches the Rfam family "Bacterial small subunit ribosomal RNA", at positions 29 to 355 of the family's 1533-position model. The record is from RNAcentral.